AUUUUGCCAGGUGAGGAAAAACUGUCAGAAUGUUGUGGGCCAGUAGAUCCUGUCUGGUCAAAAUUCCAAUUACAGGGCAUACCUGUGAGAUCACAUGAUUAGGUCUGUCCUAUAUGAUCAUUUUGAAUAAUUAAAAUAUUAACAUAAGUUUUGAAUGGUAUUGAUAUUUACUAGUAUGUUCAAUAUACUCACCCCUGAUGCCUGAUAUUUGGGUACUACAAGCAGAUGACGAAGUCCAACUUGGUGGAAGAGAAUCAUUGCUUUCGCCACUGAUAUGCUCUCUAAAACAGUAAACGGAGUUGUAUUGGUGAGAGGAUGUAAAUCAACAAACAUCUCCAUUUCUUCCCUUGUUAUAGCCACCUCUUCAAUAUUCCCUUCUCUCUCUGCCAGCUCUACCCAGGUAAAUUUCUCUCUUGCUUCCCAUUCCUCUGUUCUUCUUCUCUCUUUCAAGAACCACUUUUUCUUUAAUGCUUGGAUGAGGUGUGCUCUUAGUAUUAGUCCAUGCAGUUCCAUUGCCCCAUUGGCGUGUCGUACUGGUGGUAUUAUCCCAUCAUCCAUCACCGGGAAGCCGUUAUGUGUAGUGUUUUUCAAAA
This 593-nucleotide long non-coding RNA is filed under the name Cicer arietinum (chickpea). Its description in RNAcentral is "long non-coding RNA (CARI_LNC002660)". Lineage: Eukaryota; Viridiplantae; Streptophyta; Magnoliopsida; Fabales; Fabaceae. The record is from RNAcentral.